This 126-nucleotide transfer RNA is filed under the name Bacteroidota bacterium. RNAcentral's name for it is "Bacteroidetes bacterium (activated sludge metagenome) tRNA-OTHER". Lineage: Bacteria; Pseudomonadati; Bacteroidota. The record is from RNAcentral.
CGGGAUGUGGCGCAGUCCGGUUAGCGUACACGUCUGGGGGCGUGUGGUCGCUGGUGCUGAUGAAGCAUAGCUUAUCAGCAUGCUGACAUGCAAGGCAUCGUCAGCAUUCGAAUCCAGUCAUCCCGA